RNAcentral lists this ribosomal RNA (442 nucleotides) under uncultured soil bacterium. RNAcentral's name for it is "bacterial SSU rRNA". It matches the Rfam family "Bacterial small subunit ribosomal RNA", at positions 26 to 508 of the family's 1533-position model. The record is from RNAcentral.
AGAACGAACGCUGGCGGCAUGCCUAAUACAUGCAAGUCGAACGAAGGCUUCGGCCUUAGUGGCGCACGGGUGCGUAACGCGUGGGAAUCUGCCCCUUGGUUCGGAAUAACAGUUGGAAACGACUGCUAAUACCGGAUGAUGACGAAAGUCCAAAGAUUUAUCGCCAAGGGAUGAGCCCGCGUAGGAUUAGCUAGUUGGUGAGGUAAAGGCUCACCAAGGCGACGAUCCUUAGCUGGUCUGAGAGGAUGAUCAGCCACACUGGGACUGAGACACGGCCCAGACUCCUACGGGAGGCAGCAGUAGGGAAUAUUGGACAAUGGGCGAAAGCCUGAUCCAGCAAUGCCGCGUGAGUGAGUGAAGGCCGUUAGGUUGUAAGUCUCGUUUUACCCGAGAUGAUAAUGACAGUAGUCGGAGAAGUAACGCCCCGGUACUAACCGUCCGU